UACAGAGGAGCCAAGCGUUGUCCGGAUUGACUGGGCGUAAAGCGCACGCAGGCGGACGCGCGCGUGGGGUGUGAAAUCUGGCCGCUUAACGGCCAGGCGCCAUCCCAUACGGCGCGCCUGGAGCCUUGCAGAGGUCGGUGGAAUUGCCGGUGUAGUGGUGAAAUGCGUAGAGAUGUGGAGGAACACCAGUGGCGAAGGCGACUCUUUGGUCUGUAACUGACGCUGAGGCGCGAAAGCGUGGGGAGCAAACAGG
Molecule: ribosomal RNA, 253 nt
Filed under: uncultured bacterium
Lineage: Bacteria
Description: partial 16S ribosomal RNA
Rfam family: Bacterial small subunit ribosomal RNA
Source: RNAcentral